AGGGAACCAGUAGGCGGGAGAAGAAAGGGUAGGGAACUUCCUUCCUGCCCCCUCCGAGUUUUGCCUCUCUCACUGGCAGCAACCCAGCGCUUCCAUUGCUGACCUCUACCGACCUCUACCUGUGGUCCUUCCUCUACUGCAGCAGAGACACUGUUUUCUUCCUUUGUUCUUCCAACCCCAUGGGGAAUAUCACAGAAGUGAAGUGCAAUUCUCAUCAUGUCAUAUCAAGAGCACACACUAACAAACAACAUGACUUAUUGCUGAAUAUUGAACUUGAUCACCUGGCUGAGGUAGUGUUUGCCAGAUUUCUCUGUAAAGGUGAAUAAACUGACACUGGAACAUUCAGGAACUUCUUCAUGGUCAUGGUCACCCAGCUAGAGUGUGGAAGCCAGGCUGUCUGAUUCCAGGAUCUGUGUUCUUAAUCCUAUACAUAAGGAAGCCAUAAUGAGUCAACCACUAUUUUUAAGAUUCACAGAUGUUCGGGUCCAAUUCACCAGAAUGCCAAGUUAUACAGGGUUGUGGAAUCAAAAACUGCAAUUAGUAAUAAAAUGUGAUGCUAUCUAGAAUGUUUUUCAUACAUAUAUAUGCUUCUUGGGACUCUCCCUGCAGGUUAAGAGAAAUUGAGAAACGAUGGAGAAUUUAAGUGUUUUAGAUCCUACAUACAUUAGACUUAAAAAUAGUAACUAUGUACAUGAGUAUUUGUAAACUUAAGAAUGAACAUAACAUGAACCAUGUGGCACCUAUAAAAUGAAAAUAAAAUACCUACAAACCAAAUGAGAGCAAUAAAAGAAGCUUUAAGGACUUUCACUUCAGGGAGUCUGAAUUAGAUGCGCUUCUUCCCAUUCCUCCCUCUAAUUACAACAAGCUUGGACGUUACAUACAGAACAAACAGAAGGAGUCUCUGAAAGAUGAAGAGAAGGCAAGUAAGCUACAGACUUCACAAUGUAAGGAAUAAUAUGGUGGUGAGUUACAUUUGUGAUUUUUUUUUGUCUCAUAUCCCAUAAUAUCUCAUAUCUCAUAAUCAGUUAGAAAGCACAAUGGAAAAGUAUUCCACUGCCAAUGGUGUUAGAGAACUGCUCACAAAUUCAACAGAAAUGCACAGAUACCAAAGCAGAAAGGACAAUAAACAAGAGUCUUCAUGGUCAAAAGAUUAGAAGCUGCAGCUUUCAAUGGGAGGGACAGGUUCUGGACCACACUGCAGUGCUUUUCUGCUUUCUGUGCUUUCCCACUCUAGAGCUGAAGAAGGUAACGACCCCAAAAUGUCAAUAUACGUAGACCAAAAACCAGCCCCAAUAAAAGUCUGCUCUCUCUAGCCAAAGGACUACAGUAGGGCAGCCCAGCAAGACAGAAAACCUUCAGACAACCUACCCCAGCCAAACACUACCAAAAAAAGUAAA
This 1397-nucleotide long non-coding RNA is filed under the name Homo sapiens (human). Its description in RNAcentral is "novel transcript". Lineage: Eukaryota; Metazoa; Chordata; Mammalia; Primates; Hominidae. The record is from RNAcentral.